AGCGGGGUAGGGCAGCCUGGAGUGCCCGCCGGGCUCAUAACCCGGAGGUCGUUGGUUCAAAUCCAAAGAGGGUAAGUCUAACUUGCCUUCGGGAAACCCCCGCUA
This 105-nucleotide transfer RNA is filed under the name Candidatus Aenigmatarchaeota archaeon. RNAcentral describes it as "tRNA-Met". The stretch from base 8 to 67 matches the Rfam family "tRNA", at positions 8 to 63 of the family's 71-position model. Rfam says of the family: Transfer RNA (tRNA) molecules are approximately 80 nucleotides in length. Their secondary structure includes four short double-helical elements and three loops (D, anti-codon, and T loops). Lineage: Archaea; Nanobdellati; Candidatus Aenigmatarchaeota. The record is from RNAcentral.